CCCUGGUGGAUAUGCAGUACAGUUACAAAUGCAGAAAGUGUCUGAGCAGAGCUCCUGCAUGGAAAAGAAGUGUCAAGCAGAGAUGUGAGAGUGACAGAUGGAGAAGUAUUCAGUGACUCUUGGAAGCCUUUAAGAGACAACAGAUGCCUCCUAACUGUAGAUGAAUUUCUCAGAGGUGCAGAACAAAAGGACAAAAGAGAACAAGGAGCCAGCCCUGCUUUAUCAAGGUACUGAUGCAAACUGGAGCUGCAAAGGCAGAGCAGGCUGUGCUUGGGACGCCUGCAAACAUAAAAGAAGAUGCAGAGAAGGAA
Molecule: long non-coding RNA, 311 nt
Filed under: Gallus gallus (chicken)
Lineage: Eukaryota; Metazoa; Chordata; Aves; Galliformes; Phasianidae
Source: RNAcentral